AAAGGAAAUCAUCCAUUCAAAUUAAUUCAUUACAAGUCCAGAAAACGAAUCCAAGAUGCCCUACGCCUCAAUAGUUAUGGGCACUACAAACCUAAAAUUAACCACACAAUUAUGAAGCCCAUAACCAUUACAUAGUCCCUCACAAAAUAAGAUCUUAAGUAUAGAAAAUUAAAUAUGACUAUAAAAAUUUAUGUACGAAAAUUUAUUAAAACUACUAGUUAAAUGAGAAAGCCCCAAAUUUCUUUAAAUAGUCCUCCAUCAAAAGAUACUAAAAUUCAAGGAUAUAAAACAUUUUGACUUUUUAUUAUUUUCAAAUAAAAUUCACAAGUUGUCUUCAAUUCAUAUUUAUAGGCAAUUCAGAAGAACUUUAAUCAUCUACCAAACAUCAAUAUUAACCACAAGAUAUCAAAACUAGAAGCAGCUUGUAG
RNAcentral lists this unclassified non-coding RNA (428 nucleotides) under Hevea brasiliensis (rubber tree). Lineage: Eukaryota; Viridiplantae; Streptophyta; Magnoliopsida; Malpighiales; Euphorbiaceae. The record is from RNAcentral.